UACGGCCACAUUAUGUUGAAACACCGGUUCCCAUACGAAGUUAAGCAGCAUCAAGCCUCGUCAGCACCUAGAUGGGUGACCGCUUGGGAAUACCAGGUGCUGUAA
Acanthosepion pharaonis is the source of this 105-nucleotide non-coding RNA. NCBI's taxonomy places the organism in Eukaryota, Metazoa, Mollusca, Cephalopoda, Sepiida, Sepiidae. The record is from the annotation of a GenBank genome assembly.